RNAcentral lists this ribosomal RNA (504 nucleotides) under uncultured bacterium. Its description in RNAcentral is "partial 16S ribosomal RNA". It matches the Rfam family "Bacterial small subunit ribosomal RNA", at positions 28 to 506 of the family's 1533-position model. The record is from RNAcentral.
GACGAACGCUGGCGGCGUGCCUAAUACAUGCAAGUAGAACGCACAGUUUAUACCGUAGCUUGCUACACCAUAGACUGUGAGUUGCGAACGGGUGAGUAACGCGUAGGUAACCUGCCUGGUAGCGGGGGAUAACUAUUGGAAACGAUAGCUAAUACCGCAUAAUAUUGAUUAUUGCAUGAUAAUUGAUUGAAAGAUGCUAUUGCAUCACUACCAGAUGGACCUGCGUUGUAUUAGCUAGUAGGUGAGGUAACGGCUCACCUAGGCGACGAUACAUAGCCGACCUGAGAGGGUGAUCGGCCACACUGGGACUGAGACACGGCCCAGACUCCUACGGGAGGCAGCAGUAGGGAAUCUUCGGCAAUGGACGAAAGUCUGACCGAGCAACGCCGCGUGAGUGAAGAAGGUUUUCGGAUCGUAAAGCUCUGUUGUAAGAGAAGAACGGGUGUGAGAGCGGAAAGUGCACACUGUGACGGUAUCUUACCAGAAAGGGACGGCUAACUACGU